This 253-nucleotide ribosomal RNA is filed under the name uncultured bacterium. Its description in RNAcentral is "partial 16S ribosomal RNA". It matches the Rfam family "Bacterial small subunit ribosomal RNA", at positions 524 to 776 of the family's 1533-position model. The record is from RNAcentral.
UACGAAGGGGGCUAGCGUUGCUCGGAAUCACUGGGCGUAAAGCGCACGUAGGCGGAUCUUUAAGUCAGAGGUGAAAUCCCGGAGCUCAACUCCGGAACUGCCUUUGAUACUGAGGACCUUGAGUCCGGGAGAGGUGAGUGGAACUGCGAGUGUAGAGGUGAAAUUCGUAGAUAUUCGCAAGAACACCAGUGGCGAAGGCGGCUCACUGGCCCGGUACUGACGCUGAGGUGCGAAAGCGUGGGGAGCAAACAGG